RNAcentral lists this long non-coding RNA (808 nucleotides) under Vigna radiata. RNAcentral describes it as "long non-coding RNA (VRAD_LNC012723)". Lineage: Eukaryota; Viridiplantae; Streptophyta; Magnoliopsida; Fabales; Fabaceae. The record is from RNAcentral.
UACCACUAGCCGUUUUGGUGUGUUACGUUUUGGUUGGCUUUGAAUCUCUUUUUUGGGCUACAAACUAUUUUUAGAACAGCUUGAGUGUUUUGACCUUGAGCAAAGAGUGUCCUAGUGCACCUUGAGUGUUGGGUUUUGUAUACAAGAAGCACCUCACUUCAUAUUCUAGUUGUUUUUGGUUUUGUUCAUUUAUCCUUGUGCCUUUUCAUUACUACCUCUAUUUUGUGCACUUAACCUUUAUUGACAGUCCUAUUUUCUUGCUAUUCUUUUAAAUCAUUCUUAGUUUUGUCAAUCAGUUCUUGCUUUCUUUUUUAGCCUCCCUUAUCGGUUUUGUGGUUAUUUAUGUGGGGGUUCUCUUUUGAGGUGAACCAAAGCUUUGAGGUAGCAUCUUAGGAGGUGGAGACUUAGAUGGAGCUUGAAAUCAUGGAAGGAAAGAAGAAGAAAGUGAGAGAAAGACUUGGAGAGGAGUAGCACCACUUUGUUUGAAGUCGCAUAUCUCUUUAUUUGAGUUGUAUUUUGAUUCUUUGUUUUAUUUUAUAAACUUGGACUAAUUAGGUGUCUUGGGAGGACUUUUGUUGUUCAAUCUCAUAUCCUUAUUUCUUAUACUUCAUCAUUUUUAGUUAGUGAGAGUUUUGAAGGUUCUAAAUGCCUUUUAACCUUAUUAGGUCACAUAGUCUAUUUACAAUUUUACAAAAACUACAACUACAAUAGUCUACUCCUGGUUAGAUUUGUGAUAGAGUUAAUUGGUCAGUCCUUUGAUUUUCUACACUGGCUUCAUCUAAUAAGCAUCAACCAACGAAGCUUCAAA